This 386-nucleotide unclassified non-coding RNA is filed under the name uncultured Ascomycota. RNAcentral describes it as "sequence contains ITS1". The stretch from base 1 to 105 matches the Rfam family "5.8S ribosomal RNA", at positions 50 to 154 of the family's 154-position model. The record is from RNAcentral. Lineage: Eukaryota; Fungi; Ascomycota.
GAAAUGCGAUACGUAAUGUGAAUUGCAGAAUUCAGUGAAUCAUCGAAUCUUUGAACGCAUAUUGCACUCUUUGGUAAUCCGAAGAGUAUGCCUGUUUCAGUAUCAUUAAUAAACAAUCAGAAAAGAAUUUUUUUUCUUUUUCUGGAGUUGAGCAUUUUGUCUUUUUGAAAAAAAGGGCUGGCUUUAAAAGAGAAUUUAUAAUCAGGAAAGUCAGAUUUUUAUAAAUCUGGAAUUUUUUUUUUUAAAAACCAAGUUGAAAUUAAGGCGGUAAAUAGUUGGCUUUUUAAGAAAGUUAUCUUUCGCUGAAAAAUAUCAUCUUGACAGAUAAAAGAAAAAUAUAACAUUAAUUUGAUCUGAAAUCAGGUAGGACUACCCGCUGAACUUAA